CAGGCUCCAGAUCAUCAAUAUGAAGGAGUUCAGCAGCAAAUUGAACAGAUCCACAAGGUUCUACAGGAGCAGAGUAGACUGCUGACUCUACUAAGAACAGUGUCUUCUGAAGAUCUGAUGUUUCCUGCCUGUGGGCCCCUGCGGUGGAUUGGUGUGCUGCCUGUGAUGACUGCCACGAGUUCUGAGAAGCUCCCAGUUCUCCCACUGUCGUCUGCUCCUUCAGAUGGAAGGAGGCCCGAGGAUGGUCCUGUCUCCACAUGUCCCAGUCAGGAUGCAUUUAGAGCCAAAAAUGUGGCAGCAGAGCAGAGACACUUCUC
Centropristis striata (black sea bass) is the source of this 317-nucleotide long non-coding RNA. RefSeq lists it as uncharacterized. The transcript has 4 exons. The record is from RefSeq and is a predicted model, not a curated record. Lineage: Eukaryota; Metazoa; Chordata; Actinopteri; Perciformes; Serranidae.